UUUUUUUUUUGUUUUCUACUACGUUUCCCAAUAGGUUGGUGCCGGUAGUGGCAGCAUCUUUGGACCUCGUUCCCCCCUUGGAGGCGCCACGGUGGAACUCUGACCUCCCCCUUGCCCCAAAUCCCUAGGUUCUCCAGGUGAAAAUCUAGCUCCAGUUUGUCCGAAGCACACGAUGGAGGUGUCUUCGUCUUUCCCUCCCUUGGGGGCGUCUCGUUUUUAGACCGAGUCUGCGUGUGUUGGCUUUGCUAUUGCCGUGUUGUUUGGUCUCGUCGGCUGCGUGGAGAACGUUGAAAAAACGCUUUUUAGUUUACUUGUUGGAUGUCGGGGUGGCAGCCCCGGGUUUCAGUGCGGCUGUGGCCCUAUGUGGUGGCGUUGGGGCUUUGCUCCGCGUUGGUGGCAUUCCGGUCCUUCAAGGGUGGUGAGUCAGUCAUGAGGUCGGGGUUUUUGCAUGCUUGUCCCUUCGUGAGUCAUGCGGUCGGGGUUUCUGCAUGCUUGUCCCUUAAUCAAUGUGGUUAGGGUUUUCGUGCAGUUGUCCCUUAUCAAUCGUGUAUGUGUGUCGGGUUUUCGCCCGGUUGUCCUUGAUUAACUGGGCAAUUUUCUUCUUUUUAUUGAAAUGCAUGAAUCCCCUGCCCCUUUCGAGGUGUUCUCGAAAAAAUGGCAGAGCCAUGCAGCAGGCGCUGGUGCUCGUACCUCCAGAGUGCGGCCCCAGGCACCCUGUCUCCUACGGGCUGAACCCAAUUACUAAGCCGAAUAGGCCUAAGCUGCACACUCUUGGCGACACACGCGUAAUUAUUGAAUGUAAUAUGGCCAGGUCUGUCUGGGCGCCAUCUCAAGAGGAGUUGGUCGAGCAUAUGUGCUAAAAGGGAUCCUAACACCAAGAACUGGAUUUUCUCAAUGAUCGCGUCACUGUCUCAUGAGUAGUUCAUUCGUUUGGUGGUGACUAUAUGGCCUAUUUCGAUCGCUAGACGAAAAGCAAUCCACAAGGAGAUUCCAGAGUCCCUUGUCUACUCUUUGCUUUAUUUCCUCUUAUUAACUAAGCUACAGAUCCUCGACAAACCAGCGAGAGAGGACACAAGGACAGCUCGAAUCAGACGAAUGCACCGGGUGGCAUCUCCUAACAAUCUUACCGAGGUCAAUCCGUCAAUGUUGAUGCGGUCAUGUCAAGGAACGAUGGUUUCUGUGCAGUGGGAGCCGUGUGCAGAGACCUUUUCGGCGCUUUUCGGGCGCCUUUGCUGUGUAUUUAGAGGUAUUACAGAUCCAACAAUUUUAGAGGCAAUGAUAGUGAGAGAAGCACUAGCGCAGGCCGAGGAUCUUUAUGUUCAUAGAAUUCUUGUGGCCUCCGAUUGCAAUAUUGUGCUGGACGGCAUCAAACGAGGAAGUGCAACAGACUAUGGGGCGAUUAUCAGAGAAAUUGUUGAUGGAUCAACUCUCUUUCCCUCUGUAAUAUCAUUUAUGAAUAUAUGAGCUUGAAUGUCGAGGCUGACAACAUUACGAAUCAUGCUUUAAUUUAGGGGCUGAUAGUUAUGCUUGCUUUGGAGAGUUUUUAGAAAAGAGGCGCUUGUCCGGCCUUAAACUGAGGCCCUUACAAAUCCAUAAGUCUAACCAUCCAAGGGGCGAAGAAAGCAAAUAAAGGAGAGAUACAAGCCCGUAGGCUGGGACACAACGGCGCAGCGCUGGCGAUCUAACUACAUGAAGAUCAUGGGCUGUCGAGGUAGCAAGCGGCGGCGAAGAUCAGCCGGAGAUGUCUCUCAUGAUGUUCGGCGCAGCUCAGUGCACCUUGCCCGUACCUUUGCUACGAGCUCCUAAACGCGCCCUAUGUCCUUUGUUUUUGCCAGUAGCUUCCAGAGCUGCAUAAAAGACAUAAUUUUGUACAAAAGAUCAGCUGGAUGCUUGAUGAAUUGUCCCUCUAUUAGAGCUUUACUUCUUGUGGUCUAGAGAGCCCAAGCAAUGGCCCUGAAGCCUAGCCAUGUCAUCUGUCUAUCUCCCCCAGAUGUGGCCGCUAACCGAUAGAAUUCUGAGAACCCGCUCGGAUUCCACGAGGACCUUGUCACCGACCUCACCCCACUCCACACGAAUCGAGCCAUUAUAUACAUCUAAAAAGGAUAUGGUCAUGGUCUUCGGGUUCACCGCAGCAUAUACAUUUGCCAUCGCCCGGGCCCCUUCUUUAUAUCUCGCGCCACUUGCCACAAGAAAAUUUUGAUUUUGGCUGGGAGUCUUGCCUUCCAUAUUCCUGAUAGGUCACAAGGGGUUGUGGAUUUGAAAAUUUCUCUAUAUAAAGGUCCAGUCGAGAAGCACCACAAAGGUUCAAGACGCCAUAUAACUUCGUCGCGACCAAGAGUAAUUUGCUGCCCUCUUAAUUUCUUUCUCAAUUGUUCCCGCUCGUUAAUUUCAGCGGCCCCCAAGGAUCGACGGAAUUGGGGCACCCAUUGACCAUGUUGCCAUAUUUCCGCCACUUUCGCCUCCCGGUUCAUCGCGAUGGCAAACAAGGUCGGGAACAUAUCGCAGAAUCGAUCAUUAUUACACCACUUAUCCAGCCAAAAACAUGUUGCACGACCGUUAUGAACCACGAAUUGGGUUCUUAGGCGGAGAAGUGGUUGUACCUUCCUUACAUCCCUCGCAAACUGAGAGAGUUUUGCGCUUCUCCUAAAAUCCACCCUGUCCUGGACUACGUAUUUCCGGGUAAAGAUAUCCAACCAUAUGCCUCCUUGUCCCGUUAGGACUUUCCACGCCCACUUCGUCAUGAGGCACCAAUUCAUUACUUUGGUGUUAAUAACACCCAAGCCCGCAACCUCCUUUGGCUGACAAAUGUUGUCCCAACUCACCAUGUGGUAUUUUUGCCUCCCGUUUUCUUUAGCGCAAAAGAACCGGGAGCAAACUUUAUUCAGUUUAUCAUGUAUCCAUCCCGAAGGAGAUAAAACCCCAUGACGAACAUAGGGAUGUUCGUAAGGCAACCGUUGAUAAGGACAAGCCGGCCUCCCGACGCCAAGAGCUUGCCCUGCCAAGGCUCCACACGCGCGGCCAUUUUAUCGACCAUUGGCUGGAACUUCUCCAUAUAUAUAGCCCUCGCAGAGAUGGGCAUACCUAAAUAUUUUAUUGGUAUAGACCCGAGCUCACAAUUCAUUAUAUGAGCCGCCCUAAGUUGCGAUUCAAGAUCCCCUCAUGUGACGAUGGCCUCGCUCUUUCGAAGUUAAUCUUUAGGUCUGACAUCUCCUCAAAGCACAUUAAGAGGAACUUGAGAUUCAGAAUCUCACGUCCGAAGUUUUUAAUGAAAAUAAGGGUGUCAUCCGCGUACUGUAGAUGGUUUGGAGAGUUGGGUGAUCUUCUUUUCAUUCCUGUAAACAGUGUGAUGAUUUAAUGAAGUUUUGCGAGUUUGUCUAAGAAAAAGGUUAAGAAAUGUUUAGAAGCAGCCGACGCUUUUUCCUACUCCCCUCCGUCUAGGUAUAUAAGUCAUCGUACGAAAGCUAAAUAAUUCCUAAAACACUUAGGCGCGGUGCAUUAACUCUUAUCUCGUUUCUUAUUUCUUGACAUAAAUAAAGGAGCCAACCAAUAAGAGAUAUGGGGCAUGUAUGCUUUCAAUGACUUGAGACUAUCAAACACAACAUGUAAUUGUCAAUUUAUUGCAUGCAAUAUCAUUAAUUAGCAAAUGAACAUUAAGAGGGUGCUUGAAUACGUUUUAGUCCCAUGACUAAAAGUAGUGGGACUAAAACUUGCUAGCCUCACCCAUGCUUGGAUCCAAAUACUAAAGAGACUAAAAUGAAGUUAUUGAGCAUUUAUUAUCCUCCAAAUCAUCCAAUCCAGAACUCGCAUGUGCUAAAGGAGAGGAAUUAAAUGAGGAAAGAGAGGGCUAAUACAUAUUUUAGUAGGUUUCAUGUGACUAAAAAGUUUUAGCCUCAAGACUAGUUCUAGCCUCUCUUUAGUCAGGGGUGCUUGGAACUUUAGCCUCUAAAAAAGACUAUUUUUAGUCAGACUAAAAAUAGUCCCUUGGAUCCAAGCAGGCCCUAAGUUAUCUUUUUUUCCUCCACCUUGUUCAUGGUGCACCUAGAGGGAGUAGCAAUAAAACAGAGCUAGUUUAUUUAGCAUCAAAUGCAAAGUACAGUUAGCCUGAAUUGUACCUGAUUCGUUUACAACCCUCAGAAAAGAUGGUGCCACCUGCCACGUCUCGUCAUCUGCAGAGGGAUCGUGGACCCGACCAGGCCAUGACACUACCAUAGACUGCUCGAGUCUGCGGCCAUGUUGUCUGCCUUCUUGCAGAAUGACACACAACCGGCGUACAGUUGACCGGUGCAGAACAUUCAGAUUUGCUGCAGCUUGAGUAGACUGACCUCAUUGCACCACUCGAUAACAAAAUUUCUAUGCACAGCAUUAAGUGCUAGCAGUAUACUUAGACGUGAUUACACCCGUCCCUAAGCGUGCGUGCAGCCACGGUCACAGCGAGAGCGCGACGAGGAUGGCCUGGCGGCACCGCGCGCGCGCCGUCUCGACGCGCUCCUUGACGGUCUCCUCCUUGACGGCGGCUUUGACCAUCUCCACGUCCAUCUCCACCAGCCGCAGCACGCGGAAGAGCUCCGUCGCCACGCGCUCGUCCACGCCGCCCUCGGCCAUCAGGAUCUCCGCCUCCUCCCGGGCGCGCUCCGUCACCACGCCCGCCACCGUGCCCAGCAGCGCGCCCGACCCGUACCGCCCGCGCUCCAUCAGCCCCUCCAGCUUCUCCAGAAAGUCGGCGAUGGCCCACCCCUUGGGCUUCUCCAGGGGGAGAUUCUUGGUGCGCUUCCACCCGAUCUCGUAGUUGGGCGGCUCCUCCUGCGUCAGCGCCGUCCGACGGAGGCGGCCGUCCGUCGAGAUGGCCGACGGCACGCGCCGGACCACCGAGAAGGAGGUGGUCGCAGUCGCCGACGGCGGGGUCUCGUCGUCGGGGAUGCGGUGGGGGUUGGCGUCGGCCUCGUCGGGAGUGGGUUCUUGCUCCUGGUUGCCUUCUUGCUGGGCAGGCUUGGGGGUGGAGGUGGUCGGUUUGGGCGCCGCGGUGCAGCGUACGGCGGUGAUGGGGGCGAUAGGGACUUGUGGUUUGGGAGUGGAGAGGAAAGGUUUGGGAGGGAGGAGAGGGCGGAGGAAGGAGGCGGCCAUGGCGGAUGAGGCGUGGUGGGAAAUGGUGAAGCGAAUGGCUGUGCAGUUUUUACGUGAUAGAUAGGUUUGGAGAUAAGCUUACAGAUGCGCUCUGUCGCCGCGCGAGAACAGAGAAGAGACAUCAGACUCGAGCUGGAUCGAAUCGAUAUUUGUGGGAGCGGGAUUAAAUCAGGAAAAAGGCUUCUAGUCUACGCGCCACAUAGUGUGCAUUUCGUAGGAAGAGCAAGCCCCAGCGACACAGUGAGCCGGCCCAUCUGAGCCAAGCGUACAGUAGAACUCGGAUCUGGUUCUGUGAACAUUCUAGAAGAUUCCGCCUGCGUUUGUUUGGUUUUCUUCAUCUUCGUCUUUCUCUUUAUUCUCUUUAUAUGGUUUUUUCUUCUGGUUUUCAUCUACUCCCUCCGUUCCUAAUACGGAGCAAAAUUAGUGAAUCUACACUCUAAAAUAUGUCCAUAUACAUUUGUAUGUGAUAGUCCAUUUGAAAUCUCUAAAAAGACAAAUAUUUGAAAUCUCUACAGAUUGGUCUGGGAAUCAAGCGAGCCCAAGCCGAUCUAACGAUCAAAUGAGCGUGGUCUAGCAAUCAAGAGAGCGAGCGGUCGAGGGGGUGCUUAAUGGGCGCCCAAUCGAGCGUUCGCAUGAGCGCCCACGUGCAAAACCAGCAAUGUAAGCAUUGAGGAAGAGGUCUCUCCAAUCUACUGACUAAUCACAAGCCUCGUUCGGUUGCGCAGGUGACAGGUGCCCCAUGGGCCCACACACUACUUCUUCGUUUACCUUAGGCUGGUCACAAUGGAAAGUAGUAUCAUGUAUAUGAUACUGGUGUAUGAUAUUACCUUCAUGGUACAUAGUACAUAAUUUGAUAUCAUAGUGACUCCAUCUGUUGUCAUUUCAUGACACAUACUAAUACAUCAUUUAAUAUGAUACAGUACCCUAUCAUGAUACUUAAUCUUCUCAAGUUGAUAUGCAUGAUAUUCCCUGUGAUACUCCCAUUGUAACCAGUGUUAACCCUUCCUUGCCUGCAUUUGCUCCUUCCUUGUGAGACAUUGCAGAUGUUACUGUCUCAUGCCUAUUGUUGCAAAGUUGCACCCUACCAUUGCAACACAACCAGUGCUUAUAACAUGUGCUUGGUGUUGCAGGGCCCAACCACACGUUGUUAAAAAAUGAAUUUCUUGCAUUUGAAGAUUUGUGAAAAGAUGACACUCCCCUCUUCCCCUCGCGCGUCAUCGGGGAACUCCUUGUCGCCUCCCCUGCCUUCUCCACCCUCCUGCGCCGCUAGACUGCCUUCCUUGACCCACCCCAUCGAGCCCAACCCAUCUCGCAAGCCCUCUGGGCUGGUUUCGCCUCCUCUCUCUACCCUACGUGGACUUCUACGUCAAGUCAGUUGGUCGGGAACAUCCCGCCCCCCUGGCGCCCAAGCGGCACCUUUAAGGCUUUCGGCCUCUAUUAUUUUCUAGGUUGUGGUCUAUCCUCAUGGUCCUGGUGAAGGGAAUAUGCCCUAGAGGCAAUAAUAAAGUUAUUAUUUAUUUCCUUAUAUCAUGAAAAUGUUUAUUAUUCAUGCUAGAAUUGUAUUAACCGGAAACAUAAUACAUGUGUGAAUACAUAGACAAACAUAGUGUCACUAGUAUGCCUCUACUUGACUAGCUCGUUGAUCAAAGAUGGUUGUGUUUCCUAACCAUAGACAUGAGUUGUCAUUUGAUUAACGGGAUCACAUCAUUAGGAGAAUGAUGUGAUUGACUUGACCCAUUCCGUUAGCUUAGCACUUGAUCGUUUAGUAUGUUGCUAUUGCUUUCUUCAUGACUUAUACAUGUUCCUACAACUAUGAGAUUAUGCAACUCCCGUUUACCGGAGGAACACUUUGUGUGCUACCAAACGUCACAACGUAACUGGGUGAUUAUAAAGGAGCUCUACAAGUGUCUCCGAAGGUACAUGUUGAGUUGGCGUAUUUCGAGAUUAGGAUUUGUCACUCCAAUUGUCGGAGAGGUAUCUCUGGGCCCUCUUAGUAAUGCACGUCACUAUAAGCCUUGCAAGCAAUGUAACUAAUGAGUUAGUUACGGGAUGAUGCAUUACGUAACGAGCAAAGAGACUUGCCGGUUGAUACGUCUCCAACGUAUCUAUAAUUUAUGAAGCAUUCAUGCUAUUUUAUUAAAUGUUUUGAAUGGUUACGGGCUUUAUUAUACACUUUUAUAUUACUUUUGGGACUAACCUAUUAACCGGAGGCCCAGCCCAUAUUACUGUUUUCUUGCCUAUUUUAGCAUUUCGAAGAAAAGGAAUAUCAAACGCAGUCCAAACAGAAUGAAACCUUCGGGAGCGUGAUUUGUGGAACGAAUAUGAUCCAGGAGACUUGGAGUUGAAGGCAAGGAAGCUUCGAGGUGGCCACAAGGGUGGGGGGCGCACCCACCCCUCCUGGGUGCCCCCCUGUCUCGUGGACCCCUCGAGGAUCCCCCGACCGACUUCUUUCGCCUAUAUAUUCCCAUAUACCCUAAAACCAUCGAAGAACAAGAUAGAUCAAGAGUUCCGCCACCGCCAAGCCUCUAUAGCCACCAAAAACCUCUCGGGAGCCCAUUCCGGCACCCUGCCAGAGGGGGAUCCCUCACCGGUGGCCAUCUUCAUCAUCCCGGCGCUCUCCAUGACGAGGAGGGAGUAGUUCACCCUCAGGGCUGAGGGUAUGUACCCGUAGCUAUGUGUUUGAUCUCUCUCUCUCUCUCUCUCUCUCUCUCUCUCUCUCUCGUGUUCUCUUUACGGCACGAUCCUGAUGUAUCGCGAGCUUUGCUAUUAUAGUUGGAUCUUAUGAUGUUUCUCCCCCUCCACUCUCUUGUGAUGGAUUGAGUUUUCCCUUUGAAGUUAUCUUGUAGGAUUGAGUCUUUAAGGAUUUGAGAACACUUGAUGUAUGUGAGUAAAUUGCUGAAAGCCACCACAUUUGUGGCACGGAUACUGCAAAACCACCACUAUUGCCGAAAAUUUCAAAAAACCACCACUUCCUCGGCAAGUGAGUAACAAAAAGCACUAAACAUGCUGUGAGCCGCGACUAACUGAAAACCUGACUUGUCGGGCCCACCUGUCGGAGCCACGUGGCAAAGGGGAAAUGGAAUGGCGGAAACGGCCGUUUGGACACUGCUAGUUAAGCGCUGCGCGCCGGCCCUGGUGCUCUCAUUCCCCUCCCUCUCUUCUCUGUUGCGCGCGCAACCAUGGCAAGUACUCCCUCCGGCGAUGUCGAGGGUGGUGACGACGGCGGCUCCAGAUCCGGACGGAGUCACGGGCGGGACCUGCUUGGGGUCGACUAUGAGUCAUCCUCCUCAGAGGGUAGCCCACUAUCGCCGUGGCGCGGGCAGAGGGCAGGUGCGGUGGCUGCGGGGGCGGCGGCGGCGGCUGCAGGGGCGGCGGCGCCGCCUGCUGCUCCAUUUGGAUCCAGAUCCAUUCAAGCUCAAGGCGCGGGAGACCAAGGAGAUGAGGAUGAGCCGCCAUCUUCUUGCCGUGCAGGCAAGGGUACCGCUGUGGCGCGGACGCCGUCGGCUGCAGCAGUCGUCCCUACUAACGUCGGCGACACCACGUACGGCCUCUAUCUCCUUCUCCUCUGCUUUCGUUUCAUGAUAUAUUUUUCGUUCUUCAGGUUUAGGUCGAUCUAGGGUUUGAGUACAGAUUAGAACCUACAAUUAUUUUGUUCUCCAAAUUUUGUGCAUAUUUACAUUGUUAGGAUUGCAGUUUGCUUGUGUUCUACAAAUUUAGGUAAUUACACUGUUAGGCUUAAAUUCCAGUAGUACAAUGUGUUGUUCAAAUUUAUGUUAUAGUAACUUGUACAUUUUAAUUGGUAUUAUAGGUCGAGCUAUGAGCAGUGGGACGUGCAUAUUGAUUUUGAAGGGAUUAAAUACAUCAGGACAAAGUUCUUUAAGAAAGACAUAAGAUAUUACAAUCUUAUGUAUGUGAUGCUUGACAAUGGGUAUAGUUUUUCAGACUGCCUCUAUUACAUGAGCUGUGGUGGAAUAGGAUUGGAUGGUUUCAAACUGCUUGACAGUCAAAUGAAGGUGGAUGAAAUGCUUAGGCAAAACCAGGACAUCAGGAGGAUCACAUUGUCAGUUACUAAGGGCAAGAGGCAGCAGGCAAUUGUUGUGUCUCCAGCAAAGAAGGGAAAGAGAAAGGCAGCAGAACUAGUUCAGAUAUCUGAUGAAGAAUAUAGCAAUGAUCCUGAUAUAGUGUUUGCAGUCAGUGAAGAUGGUGUGGCCCAUAAGGAAUUUGGUGAUUAUGGUGGUUCAAGUUCAGGCCCUUGCACAGAUGAGUUUUUGUUCUUUGGCACACAGCAGAGUGUAAAUUACCAGCCCAUCCAAACUAUGCCACCUCCCCAGACAGAAGACAGUGCCAAUUAUGCAGACAUGGAUCUUGAUUCAGAAAGUGAGGAGGGUUUUCUUUUGUCUCAAUGCACCUAGGGAGGGUUUUCUAAAUGGAUGUAGACCUUUCAUUGGUUUGGAUGGAUGUUUCAUAAAGCUUACAACUGGAGCACAAAUCCUAGCAGCUACUGGUAGGGAUGCCAACAACAACAUGUAUCCCAUUGCUUUUGGAAUUGUAGGAGUGGAGGACACACCCAGUUGGAGCUGGUUUCUCACCCAACUUAAGUAUGCUCUGGGAGGCACAGAAGAGGGAAAGUUUGGCAAAUACACCAUCAUGUCAGAUAGGCAGAAGGUCAGUGAUCUAUUUUCAUAUUUUGUGCCUUAAGUAUGCUCUAAUUGUUUAUUAGUUAGUGAUUGUUUGAACUUAAGAUUGUCACCUAGUUACUUUCUUUUGUGCCUUAAGUAUGCUCAAUUUGUUUAUUAGUUAGUGAAACCUAGUUACUUUCUUUUGAAACCAGGGCCUGCUAAAUGUUGUCAAUGCUGUAUUUCCAAACUGCCCACAAAGAUUUUGUUUAAGGCACAUUUAUGCAAAUUUUCAAAGAGCUGGAUUUAGAGGUGAAGAUCUGGAAAAAUGCAUGGACAGUGCUAGCUAUUCCUACACAAAGCAUGGUUUUGAUGUAGCCAUGGCCAAUUUGAAGAAUGAGCGUGAGGAUGCAUGGAGGUGGUUAUCUGGUAUUCCAGUACACACAUGGGCUAGGCAUGAAAUGGACACAAAUUGCAAAACAGACCUGGUGGUCAAUAACAUAAGUGAGGUCUUCAAUAAAUAUAUCUUGGAUGUUAGAAACAAACCAAUAGUGACAAUGAUUAAUGGAAUCAAAGACAAGUUGCUAGUCAGGUUUGAUGGAAAAAGAGAAAGUGCAGCCUCUUCUAGAUGGGAAAUAGCUCCAACAUAUGCAGAGCAACUGGAGAUGAGCAAGAAAUAUCAAAGAGAUUGCAAAGCAAUUAGGGCAGGGCCUAACCUGUGGCAAGUAAGCAGUGGGCCAAAGACCUAUGCUGUGAACCUUGAGGAGCACACUUGUGGAUGCAGGAAGUGGGACAUGUCAGGGUUGCCAUGCAACCAUGGUUGCAGUGCAAUUUGCAAGGCCAAGAUGCAACCUGAGGAUUUUGUAAGUCCUUUCUUGAGGAAAGCAAUGUAUUUGGAGGCAUACAAACCAAUAGUGUAUCCAGUUCCUGGAGAAGAUGCUUGGGUCAAGUCAGGAAAACCUGAUAUUGAGCCUCCUGUAUUCCACAAAGAGGACCAGAGUGGAAGAAAAGAAGAAAAGAGGAAGAAGGGAAGGUUUGAAGUUCCUAAACCAAAAGAUACCUCUAGGAUGGCUACAAUCAGAUGUGGCAACUGUAGGUUAAUGGGCCACAGGUUUACUAAUUGUGGACAACCUUUGAGGCCUGAUCUCCAGCUGAGGAAAAAUAGAAGCAUGGUACAUAUUUCUUAAUCAUUAUAUCUGAUUUAGCUUAUUUAGAUUUUAAUUGUUGUUUGUUUUAAUAACUGCAGGAAAAGAGAAGGCAAAAGGCACAAUCCUACACUCCACCUGAUGCUACUGCUGCUCCUAUGGCACCAAGAGCUGCUCCUAGGGCACCAAGAGCUGCUAGUAGGGCACCAAGGGCUGCUUUCUCAGCACCAAGGCCAGCAUCUAGGCCUCCAUGUGGAGAAGGGACUUCAUCUGCUGCUGGUACAACUACAUCUACAUCAAUUGUUGUUGCUGCUGCUAAAAACAGAGGUCAGUGAGAGGUGGAAGAGUUGGUGGAGCAUCUAAUGCUGCAACAGGUUCCAGGAAGAAACCUCAGAAAUAUGCAAGACUCCAGAGCUACUUCACAGCAAGUGGAAAUGUGUGAUCUUUGAUAUCUGCAAGUGUUUGCAACUUUUGGGGCUAGAACCCUUGUAUCUGUCCUGACAACCUUGGAUGUGUGAUGAUUUGAGUCCUGUGAACCUGUGUUUGAAUUGAGGUCAUGUGAACCUGGUUAAAUUGAAUCCUUUGAACCUAUGUGGUAAUUUUAGUCCUGUGAACCUAUGUUAUGUGUUAACCUAUGUUAUUUGUGAUCAAGCCUUCAUGCUGUUCUGGAGUUAUGUUGAUCUAGCAUAAUUGUUGUUGGUUUUUGGUUAAGCCUAAAUGUUGUUAUUGUAGUAGAAUUAUUGUGGGUUUUGAGUGCAGCCUAAAUGCUGUUAUUAUACUAGAAUUAUUGUUGGUUUUGGGCCAAUCCUAAAUGUUGUUAUUGAAGCGGAAUUAUUGUGGGUUUUUGGUCAAGCCAAAAUGUUUUGGGUGAUCAAAGCCUCGACGAUAACCAAAACUACCUAACCAUACAAUAGGGGUCAUCGAGCCUCGACGACAACCAAAACUACCUAACCAUAUAAUAGGGGUCAUCGAGCCUUGACGACAACCAAAACUACCUAACCAUACAAUAGGGGUCAUCGAGCCUCGACGAUAACCAAAACUACCUAACCAUACAAUAGGGGNNNNNNNNNNNNNNNNNNNNNNNNNNNNNNNNNNNNNNNNNNNNNNNNNNNNNNNNNNNNNNNNNNNNNNNNNNNNNNNNNNNNNNNNNNNNNNNNNNNNNNNNNNNNNNNNNNNNNNNNNNNNNNNNNNNNNNNNNNNNNNNNNNNNNNNNNNNNNNNNNNNNNNNNNNNNNNNNNNNNNNNNNNNNNNNNNNNNNNNNNNNNNNNNNNNNNNNNNNNNNNNNNNNNNNNNNNNNNNNNNNNNNNNNNNNNNNNNNNNNNNNNNNNNNNNNNNNNNNNNNNNNAUAGGGGUCAUUGAGCCUCGACGACAACCUAAACUACCUUACCAUACAAUAGGGAUCAUCAAGCCUCGACGACAACCUAAACUACCUUACCAUACAAUAGGGGUCAUCGAGCCUCGACGACAAUCUAAACUACCUUACCAUACAAUAGGGGUCAUCGAGCCUCGACGACAACCUAAACUACCUACUCCAUAGACAGAAACAACUAAAACCACCUACUCCCUAAACAGAAACAACCAAAACCACCUACCACCUACUCCCUGGAGUACAUCUUCAUCAACAGGUUCAACAAAAAUGUGGUAGAAAUAGCAUUAUCCAGCAACACAAAGUAAUCCAGCAUCACAAAUUAAUCCAGCAACACAAAUUAAUAGCAUUAUCCAGCAACACAAAUUAGUACAAAUGUCUUGCACUUUUAGUGACAGUGACACACAUAGCAGAUAGAGUACUCUAGCAGAUACAACUACAAUAACAUUGAAUCAUUCAUCAACUAUCUCUUUGAUCUUCCUGAUCUUCCCCUUGGUGGCCUCCUUCUCAUUGAACAGAUCACCUAUAGUGUACUCUAGGUGCCUUUUCUCUUGCUUCCACUUCUCCUUCUCCUCCAACAACAUGGACCUCUCCUGCUUGAUCUUGCCCAUCUCCUGCACAAGCUUCACCUUCUCUUCCUUCUCUUGAUCUCUCUCUUUCUCUGCUUUGAGCCUUAGCACUUGAUGAAUGUUAGUGUCUGACUUGUCAGCCAAGUUCUUUUUCUCAAUCUGUUCCUGCAGGUCACUAAUAACCAACCUUGCAUUGCCUAACUGGGUAAUUGCAUCCUCCUUGUCAGCCACCAUUUUGGCAAAGUCAACUUUAAAAAACCUGAGGUCAUGUUCCAUCUUCCUCUUGUCUUCCAUUACCUUCACUACUUCUUCAGCAUUAAGUACAUUCUGCCUCAACCUAUUGGUCGUAUCAUCCUCAUACAUAGUCCAGAUGGUAUUUAAAGCUUGCUUCAAUUGGACUGGCCACUCAGGGUCAAUCCAGUCCACAAAGUUGCACUUUGGUACAUCCUAUGAAUGUGUGAAGAAAGGAAAUAUAAUUAAACCAAUUUCUACUACUGCAUUUUAGAAGUACUGCUUUUAGAAAAAAAAUAACAGGAACUCAGCAGUUCAGUGGAUUCACAUACUGGAAAUAAAAUAACAUGUACCUAAACUGCCUACUACUGGAAAUAAAAUAUAGAGCUAAAAUGAUUUCAAAAAACAAUGGCCACAACAUAUAAGAAAUUGGAAAUUGCCUAAUUUCAGACUUAUUGCAUCAGUCAACUCAGCAGUUCAGUGCAUUCACAUAUUACAGACCAAUUCUAUGAGUAAUGAAUUCACAUUUUCACAAAAUCACUUCAACACUUUAAGAACUAAUUGAACUGGUAAGAAAAUCACCUUCUUUGCACACCCCAGGAUUCUCCUGCCGCUAUCAGUCCAUUCAAAGGCAACAAACUUCUCACACGGGGCACGAUGCUCACAACGUGCAGGGUGAUUCAAAGCAAUGCCGCUCCAGUCAGUGGACUCCAUUUUGGCAGGUACCUAACCACAGGGAAAAUGAAUUCACAUGCUAUCGGGAAGAAAUUCCCCUUUCUCCAUAACCCUAACCCUAGAUGCGAUGCGCAUGAGCAGAAACUUACCCGGCUCACAUCGUCAGAGGAAGAGUCGGAACAGUCGGAAGGCUCAGACCAAGAAACCAUGUCUCCCCUCCCGUCAGUGGUGCGAAGCUGCUCGCAACGGCAGCGGCGGCGGCGGUAGUAUCGGCGGCAGUGGCAGAGAAGAGAGCGGUUGGGGAGGAAUGCCCUAACGCGCGCGCGACCAGCGCUUAACUAGCGGUGUCCAAACGGCCGUUUCCGCCAUUCCAUUUCCCCUUUGCCACGUGGCUCCGACAGGUGGGCCCGACAAGUCAGGUUUUCAGUUAGUCGCGGCUCACAGCAUGUUUAGUGCUUUUUGUUACUCACUUGCCGAGGAAGUGGUGGUUUUUUGAAAUUUUCGGCAAUAAUGGUGGUUUUGCAGUAUCCGUGCCACAAAUGUGAUGGCUUUCAGCAAUUUACUUGAUGUAUGUCUUGCCGUGCUUAUCUGUGGUGACAAUGGGAUAUCACGUGAUCCACUUGAUGUAUGUUUUGGUGAUCAACUUGCGGGUUCCGCCCAUGAACCUAUGCAUAGGGGUUGGCACACGUUUUCGUCUUGACUCUCCGUUAGAAACUUUGGGGGCACUCUUUGAAGUACUUUGUGUUGGUUGAAUAGAUGAAUCUGAGAUUGUGUGAUGCAUAUCGUAUAAUCAUGCCCAUGGAUACUUGAGGUGAUAAUGGAGUAUCUAGGUGACAUUAGGGUUUUGGUUGAUUUGUGUCUUAAGGUGUUAUUCUAGUAUGAACUCUAUGAUAGAUUGAACGGAAAGAAUAGCUUCAUGUUAUUUUACUAUGGACUCUUGAAUAGAUAGAACAGAAAGGAUAACUUUGAGGUGGUUUCGUACCCUACCAUAAUCUCUUCAUUUGUUCUCCGCUGUUGGUGUCUUUGGAGUGACUUUUUGUUGCAUGUUGAGGGAUAGUUAUGUGAUCCAAUUAUGUUAUUAUUGUUGAGAGAACUUGCACUAGUGAAAGUAUGAACCCUAUGCCUUGUUUCCUACCAUUGCAAUACCGUUUACGCUCACUUUUAUCAUUAGUUACCUUGCUGUUUUUAUAUUUUCAGAUUACAAAUAUCUUUAUCUACUAUCCAUAUUGCACUUGUAUCACCAUCUCUUCGCCGAACUAGUGCACAUAUACAAUUUACCAUUGUAUUGGGUGUGUUGGGGACACAAGAGACUCUUUGUUAUUUGGUUGUAGGGUUGCUUGAGAGAGACCAUCUUCAUCCUACGCCUCCUAUGGAUUGAUAAACCUUAGGUCAUCCACUUGAGGGAAAUUUGCUACUGUGCUAUAAACCUGUGCACUUGCAGGCCCAACAACGUCUACAAGAAGAAGGUUGUGUAGUAGACAUCAAGCUCUUUUCUGGCGCCGUUGUCGGGGAGGUGAGUGCUUGAAGGUAUAUCUUUAGAUCUUCCAAUCGAAUCUUUUUGUUUCUUGUUUUAUCACUAGUUUAGUUUAUAAAAGAAAACUACAAAAAAAUGGAGUUAAGUUUGUCUCAUAUGCUUCAACUUUUUAAUAUCUUUCGUGAGUAUGAUGAAAAAGAAAAUUAUGCUCAAGUGCUAGAAGAAGAAGUCUAUAAAAUGCUUGAUACUAAAUCUUUGAAUGAUGAGCAUGAUUGCAAUGUUGUUAGUAUGAAAACCUUGAAUAUCCAUGAUGCUAAUGAUAUGCAAAGCCACAAGCUUGGGGAAGCUAUGUUUGAUGAAGAUGAUUUUUUUGUCCCCCAAAUUUUGAUGAGCAAAUUUGUUAUGAUGAUAGCAUGCCUCUUACCUAUGAUGAUUAUAUUGAUGAAAGUGGGUUUGGAAGAGUGUCAACUUUAGGAAGUAGUGAUCCCACUAUUUUGGAGGAUGUUGAAUCUUAUAAUAUUUAUGAAAGUGGAUUUGGAAGAGUGUCAACUUUAUUUAGUGAUGAUUCCACUAUCUUGGGAGAGGUUUCAAUUGAUUAUGAUGAGAACAAAGUUGCUAAUUAUGAUGAUUAUUGUGAUGAAACUUAUGCUAUAAAAAGUAGUGAUGAUUAUAUUUAUAAAACUUGUCAUGAUUAUGAUUACCCUUUUUCUUAACAUUACUCUUUUAAUGUGGAAACAAGUUUUAGUAUUCAAGUCUCUUGUGAUACUCCCACUACUAUUCAUGAGAAGAAAUUUGCUUAUGUGGAGAGUAGUAAAUUUUCUAUGCAAGUAGAUCAUGAAAAGAAUGCUUUAGGUGCUGGUUAUAUUGUUGAAUUCAUUCAUGAUGCUACUGAAAAUUAUUAUGAGGGAGGAACAUAUGCUUGUAGGAAAUGCAAUAAUGUCAAGUUUCCUCUCUAUGUGUUGAAAAUUUGAAGUUAUGCUUGUCUUGCCUACCUAUGCUAGUUGAUUAUUGUUCCCAUAAGUUGUUUGCUCACAAAAUCCCUAUGCAUAGGAAGUGGGUUAGACUUAAAUGUGCUAGUCAUAUGCUUCAUGAUGCUCCCUUUAUGUUUCAGUUCUUAUCUUUUAUGUGAGCAUCAUUGUCAUCAUCAUGCCUAGCUAAAAGGCAUUGAAGAAAAGCGCUUGUUGGGAGACAACCCAAUACUUAUCAUUACUGUUUUUGUGUGUUCACAUGAUUAUGCUACUGUAUUAAUCAUGUUUUAUAGCUUUUGUUUCAAUAAAGUGCCAAGUAAGACCUUUAUGAUAGCUUACGGUGAUAGUUGUGUUGAUCCUGCUGAGAAUCAGAAACUUUUGCAUCCAGUAAAUUAGUUUUGAUAAUUCACAGAGACGUGCUUCUGAUCGGAUUAUUUUUGAUAUGGAUUGGUACACAAAUUUAUUAGGACUCCCUAAUUUGGUAGGAUUUUUGGAGUUCCAGAAGUAUACGUUUGAUACAGAUUACUCCAGACUGUUCUGUUUUUGACAGAUUCUGUUUUCUAUGUGUUGUUUGCUUAUUUUGAUGAAUCUAUGAGUAGUAUCGGAGGGUAUGAACCAUAGAGAAGAUGGAAUAAAGUAGAUAUUACACCAAUAUGAAUUUAGAAUGAGUUCAUUACAGUACCUAAGUGGUGGUUUUAUUUUCUUAUACUAACGGAGCUUACGAGUUUUCUGUUGAGUUUUGUGUUGUGGAGUUUUCAAGUUUUGGGUAAAGAUUCUAUGGACUAUGGAAUAAGGAGUUGCAAGAGCCUAAGCUUGGGGAUGCCCAAGACACCCCAAGGUAAUAUUCAAGGACAACCAAGAGCCUAAGCUUGGGGAUGCCCCGGAAGGCAUCCCCUCUUUCGUCUUUGUUCAUCGGUAACUUUACUUGGAGCUAUAUUUUUAUUCACCACAUGAUAUGUGUUUCGCUUGGAGCGUCAUUUUCUUUUGUUAGUAUUUUCUUGAUGUUAUUUAUAAUAAUGUUUUACAUCUAUAUUUUCAAUAAAAAUGACAAGGAUAGCCUUUACCAUGCUUAUUUUACUAGUAUACAUGUUGCUGUUUGAAAACAGAAAGUUUACCGCUGUUGCAAAAAUUCCCUAGAAAAUUCAGAGAAUGGUAUAAUGUUGAAACUUUUUUCAUAAUGAUCUCUGAUAAAUCUUAUACAGCGUAGUACUUUUUCAUAAUUUUUUGAGUUAGGGAAGUAUGAUGAAUCUUGCAUUCUUUACAGAUUAUACUGUUUUGGCAUAUUGCUGUUAUGUUUGCAUAUGUUUGCUUGUUUAAUGAUUCUAUUUGAGGAUAGGAGUAUUAAAUAUGCAGAGGCAUUUAGUAUGCAAUGUUGAAUAAUAAUUUUAGUGAUUUGUUACAGUAGAAAAUGAUAAGGUUUUUGCAUUGGUUUAUACUAACCUAUCUCACGAGUUCUUGUUGAGUUUGGUGUGGAUGAAGCUUUCGAGAUUUAGGAAACCGAGAUAUAAAAGGAAUUAAGGAGACACAAAAGCUCAAGAUUGGGGAUGCCCAAGGCACCCCAAGAUAAUAUUUCAAGAAGUCUCAAGCAUCUAAGCUUGGUGAUGCCCCGGUAGUCAUCCCACCUUUCUUCUUCAACAACUAUCGGUUAGUACCGGUUAAGCCUAAGUUUUUGCUUCUUCACAUAAGUUGUGCUAUCCUUGCAAUGUCAUUUUAUUUUGUUUUGCUUGCUAUUUGAAUACAAUACCAAGAUCUGAAAUUCUUAAAUGAGAGAGACUCUUCACAUAGUUACAUAAUUAUUUAGCUACUCAUUGAUCUUCACUUAUAUCUUUUUGGAGUAGUUUGUCAUUUACUCGUGUGCUUCACUUAUAUCCUAUGAGUAAAUGGUUGAAUGAGUUGAUUGUCAUACAUCUGAAUUUAUAUAUGUUUCAUUUGCUUACCCCAUGGGGAGUAAUGACUUCACAUCUAAGAAGUAGAGGUUGUAAAUUUAUUGAAGGUUAGCAAGCAUUGUAUUGGUCAUUUGAACAAUUCAUGAAAGAAUAUUGAAGGAAGAGAGAUGUCACAUAUAAAUAUACUAUCUUAUACAUCUUUUAUAAUUGUGAGCACUCAUUAAGUAUGACAUGCUAAAGAGUUGAUGUUGGACAAGGAAGACAACGUAAUGGGUUAGGUUUUCUCACAUCUCAGUUAAAGUAUAUUGGCAUGGAUCAUUCAAACAUGUUGAGCUUUCCUUUCCCCCUCAUGCUAGCCAAAUUCCUUGCACCAAGUAGAGAUACUACUUGUGCCUCCAAAUAUCCUUAAACCCAGUUUUGCCAUGAGAGUCCACUAUACCUACCUAUGGAUUGAGUAAGAUCAUUCAAGUAAAUUUUCAUCGGUGCAAGCAAUAAAAAUUGCUCUCUAAAUAUGUAUGAUCUAUUAGUGUGAAGAAAAUAAGCUUUAUACGAUCUUGUUAUGGAAGCAAUAAAAGCGACGGACUGCAUAAUAAAGGUCCAUAUACAAGUGGCAAUAUAAAGUGGCAUUCUUUUGCAUUAAGAUUUUGUGCAUCCAACCAUAAAAGCACAUGACAACCUCUGCUUCCCUCUGCGAAGGGCCUAUCUUUUACUUUAUGCAAGAGUCAAGGUCAUAUUCACCUUUCCCUUUUUCAUUUUAUCCUUUGGCAAGCACCUCGUGUUGGAAAGACCCUGAUAUAUAUAUCCAAUUGGAUGUAAGUUAGCAUGAACUAUUAUUGUUGACAUCACCCAAAGGUGAAUACGUUGGGAGGCAACACUAUAAGCCCUUAUCUUUCUCAGUGUCCGAUUAAAACUCCAUAACCAUCAGUAUUGCGUGAGUGUUAGCAAUCAUGGAAGACUAUAUGAUAGUUGAGUAUGUGGAGUUUGCUAAAUCAAAGCUCUGACAUAGACCCUUCCUAAAAAUAAGAUGAAUUGUAAUUGUUUGAUGACUAAGAAUGAAGUUUGCUAGUUUUCAAAAAAGUUUAUGGUCUAUGCACUAGAGUCAAUAAUCUAGUUCACAUCGCCAUGUGAUUUAACACCAAUAUUCAUAUCUGUAUAUGAUUAACACCCAUAGUUCACAUUGUCAUGUGACCAACACCCAAAGGGUUUACUAGAGUCAAUAAUCUAGUUCACAUCGCUAUGUGAUUAACACCCAAAGAGUACUAAGGUGUGAUCAUGUUUUGCUAGUGAGAGAAGUUUAGUCAACGAGUCUGUCACAUUCAGAGCCGUAUGUAUUUUGCAAAAAUAUUCUAUGUCUACAAUGUUUUGUACGGAGCUACUCUAGCUAAUCGCUCCCACUUUCAAUAUGUAUCCAGAUUGAUACUUAGAGUCAUCUGGAUCGGUGUAAAAGCUUGCACCAAUGUGACUCUUUACAACGGGCUCUUUUAUCACCUCCAUAAUCGAGAAAUAUUUCCUUAGUCCUCACUAAGGAUAUUCUUGACCACUGUCCAGUGAUCUACUCCUAGAUCAAAAUUGUACUCCCUUACCAAACUCAGAGCAAGGUAUACAAUAGAUCUGGUACAUAGCAUAGCAUACUUUAUAGAACCUAUGACUGAGGCAUAGAGAAUGACUUUUCAUUCUUUUCUAUUUUCUGCCAUGGUCAGGUUUUUGAGUCUUACUCAACUUCACACCUUGCAACACAGGAAAGAACUCCUUCUUUGACUGUUCCAUUUUGAGUUACUUCAAAAUCUUAUCAAGGUAUGUACUCAUUGAAAAAUCUUAUCAAGCGUCUUGAUCUAUUUCUAUAGAUCUUGAUUCUCAAUGUGUAAGCAGCUUCACCGAGGUCUUUCUUUGAAAAACUCUUUUCAAAUAUUCCUUCAUACUUUCCAGAAAAUUCUACAUUAUUUCCGAUCAACAAUAUGUUAUUCACAUAUACUUAUCAGAAAUGCUAUAGUGCUCCCACUCACUUUCUUGUAAAUACAGGCUUCACCGCAAGUCUAUAUAAAACUAUAUGCUUUGAUCAACUCAUCAAAGCGUAUAUUCCAACUCCGAGAUGCUUGCACUAGUCCAUAGAUGGAUCACUAGAGCUUGAACAUUUUGUUAGCACCUUUAGGAUUGAGAAAACCUUAUUGUUGCAUCAUAUACAACUCUUCUUUAAUAAAUCCAUUAAGGAAUGCAGUUUUGACAUCCAUUUGCCAGAUUUCAUAAAAUGUGGCAAUUGCUAACAUGAUUCGGACAGACUUAAGCAUCGACACGAGUGAGAAAAUCUCAUCGUAUUCAACACCUUGAACUUGUCGAAAAACCUUUUGCGACAAGUCGAGCUUUGUAGAUAGUAACACUACUAUCAGCGUCCGUCUUCCUCUUGAAGAUCCAUUUAUUUUCUAUGGCUUGCUGAUAUCGGGCAAGUCCACCAAAGUCCACACUUUGUUCUCAUACAAGGAUCCAAUCUCAGAUUUCAUGGCCUCAAGCCAUUUCGCGGAAUCUGGGCUCAUCAUCGCUUCCUCAUAGUUCAUAGGUUCGCCACGGUCAAGUAACAUGACCUCCAGAAUAGGAUUAUCGUACCACUCUGGUGCGGAUCUUACUCUGGAAGACCUACGAGGAUCUGUAGUAACUUAAUCUGAAGUUUCAUGAUCAUCAUCAUUAACUUCCUCACUAAUUGGUGUAGGAAUCACUGGAACUGAUUUCUGUGAUGAACUACUUUCCAGUUCGUAAGAAGGUACAAUUACCUUAUCAAGUUCUACUUUCCUCCCACUCACUUCUUUCAAGGGAAACGCCUUCUCUAAAAAGGAUCCAUUUUAGCAACGAAUAUCUUGCCUUCGGAGCUGUGAUAGAAGGUGUACCCAACAGUUUUCUUUGGGUAUUCUAUGAAGACGCACUUCUCCGAUUUGGGUUCGAGCUUACCAGGUUAAAACUUUUUCACAUAAGCAUCGCAGCUCCAAACUUUAAGAAACGACAGCUUAGGUUUAUUGCUAAACCAUAGUUCAUACGGUGUCGUCUCAGCGGAUUUAGAUGGUGCCCUAUUUAACGUGAAUGUAGUUAUCUCUAAUGCAUAACCCCAAAAUGAUAUUGUUAAAUCGGUAAGAAACAUCAUAAUCGCACCAUAUCAAAUAAAGUGCGGUUAUGAAGUUCGGACACACCGUUACGCUAUGGUGUUCCAGGUGGCAUGAGUUUGUGAAACUAUUCCACAUUGUUUUAACUGAAGGCCAAACUCGUAACUCAAAUAUUCAUCUCCACGAUCAGAUCGCAGAAACAUUAUUUUUCUUGUUACAAUGAUUUUACACUUCACUCUGAAAUUCUUUGAACCUUUCAACUAUUUCAGAUUUAUGUUUCAUCAAGUAGAUAUACCCACAUCUGCUCAAAUCAUCUGUGAAGGUCAGAAAAUAACGAUACCUGCCACGAGCCUUAAUACUCAUUGGUCUGCAUACAUCAGUAUGUAUUAUUUCCAACAAGUUUGUUGCUCGUUCCAUUGUUCCGAAGAACGGAGUUUUAGUCAUCUUGCCCAAAAGGCACGAUUCGCAAGCAUCAAAUGAUUCAUAACCAAGUGAUUCCAAAAGUCCAUCUUUAUGGAGUUUCUUCAUGCGCUUUAGACCGAUAUGACCCAAACGGCAGUGCCACAAAUAAGUUGCACUAUCAUUAUCAACUUUGCAUAUUUUGGCAUCAAUAUUAUGUAUACAUGUAUCACUACGAUCGAGAUCCAACAAACUAUUUUCAUUGGGUGUAUGACCAUCGAAGGUUUUAUUCAUGUAAACAGAACAACAAUUAUUCUCUGACUUUAAAUGAAUAACCGUAUUGCAAUAAACAUGAUCAAAUCAUAUUCAUGCUCAAUGUAAACGCCAGAUAACAUUUAUUUAGGUUGAACACUAAUCUCGAAAAUAUAGGGAGUGUGCGAUGAUGAUCAUAUCAAUCUUGGAACCACUUCCAACACACAUCGUCACUUCACCCUCAACUAGUUUCUGUUUAUUCUGUAACUCCUGUUUCGAGUUACUAAUCUUAGCAACCGAAUAAGUAUCAAAUACCCAGGGUUUACUAUAAACACUAGUAAGGUACACAUCAAUAACCUGUAUAUCAAAUAUACCCUUGUUCACUUUGCCAUCCUUCUUAUCUACCAAAAUUCAGGGCAUUUCCACUUCCAAUGACCAUUUCCUUUGCAGUAGAAGCACUCAGUUUCAGGCUUUGGUCCAGCUUUGAGCUUCUUCGCGGGAGUGACAACUUGCUUGCCAUUCUACUUGAAGUUCCCUUUCUUUCCCUUUGCCCUUUUCUUGAAACUAGUGGUCUUGUCAAUCAUCAACACUUGAUCCUCUUUCUUGAUUUCUACCUUCGUCAAUUUCAACAUCAUGAAGAGUUCGGGAAUCGUUUUCGUCAUCCCUUGCAUACUAUAGUUCAUCACGAAGUUCUAGUAACUUGGUGAUGGUGACUAGAGAACUCUGUCAAUCACUAUCUUAUCUGGAAGAUUAACUCCCACUUGAUUCAAGCGAUUGUAGUACCCAGACAAUAUGAGCACAUGCUCACUAAUUGAGUGAUUCUCCUCCAUAUUUUAGCUAUAGAACUUGUUGGAGACUUCAUAUCUCUCAACUCGGGUAUUUGCUUGAAAUAUUAACUUCAACUCCUGGAACAUCUCAUAUGGUCCAUGACGUUCAAAACGUCUUUGAAGUCCCGAUUCUAAGCCGUUAAUCAUGGUGCACUAAACUAUCAAGUAGUCAUCAUAUUGAGCUAGUCAAACGUUCAUAACGUCUGCAUCUGCUCCUGCAAUAGGUCUGCCACCUAGCGGUGCAUCAAGGACAUAAUUCUUCUCUGCGGCAAUGAGGAUAAACCUCAGAUCACGGAUCUAAUCCGCAUCAUUGCUACUAAUAUCUUUCAACAUAGUUUUUCUCUAGGAACAUAUCAAAAAUAAACAUAGGGAAGCAACAAAGCGAGCUAUUGAUCUACAACAUAAUUUGCAAAAUACUAUCAGGACUAAGUUCAUGAUAAAUUAAAGUUCAAUUAAUCAUAUUACUUAAGAACUCCCACUUAGAUAGACAUCCCUCUAAUCAUCUAAGUGUUCACGUGAUCCAAAUCAACUAAACCAUGUCCGAUCAUCACGUGAGAUGGAGUAGUUUUCAAUGGUGAAAAUCAUUAUGUUGAUAAUCUACUAUAUGAUUCACGCUCGACCUUUCGGUCUCAGUGUUCCGAGGCCACAUCUGUAUAUGCUAGGCUCGUCAAGUUUAACCUGAGUAUUCCGCGUGUGCAACUGUUUUGCAUCCGUUGUAUUUGAACGUAGAGCCUAUCACACCCGAUCAUCAUGUGGUGUCUCAGCACGAAGAACUUUUGCAACGGUGCAUACUCAGGGAGAACACUUAUACCUUGAAAUUUAGUGAGAGAUCAUCUUAUAAAUCUACCGUCGAACUAAGCAAAAUAAGAUGUAUAAAAGAUAAACAUCAUAUGCAAUCAAAAUAUGUGACAUGAUAUGACCAUGAUCAUCUUGCGCCUUUGAUCUCCAUCUCCAAAGUACUAUCAUGAUAUCUAUCAUCACCGGCACGACACCAUGAUCUCCAUCAUCUUGAUCUAUAUCAAUAUGUCGUCACAUGGUCGUCUCGCCAAUUAUUGCUCUUGCAACUAUUGCUAUCGCAUAGCGAUAAAGUAAAGCAAUUAUUUGGCGCUUGCAUCUUAUGCAAUAAAGAGACAACCAUAAGGCUUCUGCCAAUUGCCGAUAACUUCAAAAAAAACAUGAGCAUCUCAUACAAUAACUUAUAUCUCAUCACGUCUUGACCAUAUCACAUCACAACAUGUCCUGCAAAAACAAGUUAGACGUCCUCUACUUUGUUGUUGCAAGUUUUACGUGGCUGCUACGGGCUGGGCAAGAACCGUUCUUACCUACGCAUCAAAACCACAACAAUAGUUUGUCAAGUUAGUGUUGUUUUAACCUUCUCAAGGACCGGGCGUAGCCACACUCGGUUCAACUAAAGUUGGAGAAACUGACACCCGCCAACCACCUGUGUGCAAAGCACGUCGGUAGAACCAGUCUCGCGUAAGCGUAAGCGUCAUGUCUGUUCGGGCCGCUUCAUCCAACAAUACCGUCGAACCAAAGUAUGACAUGUUGGUAAGCAGUAUGACUUGUAUCGCCCACAACUCACUUGUGUUCUACUCGUGCAUAUAACAUCUACGCAUAAAACCAGGCUCGGAUGCCACUGUUGGGGAACGUAGUAAUUUCAAAAAAAUCCUACGCACACGCAAGAUCAUGGUGAUGUAUAGCAACGAGAGGGGAGAGUGUUGUCCACGUACCCUCGUAGACCGAAAGCGGAAGCGUUAGCACAACGCGGUUGAUGUAGUCGUAUGUCUUCACGGUCUGACCGAUCAAGCACCGAAAGCACGACACCUCCGAGUUCUUGCACACUUCAGCUCGAUGACGUCCCUCGAACUCCGAUCCAGCCGAGUGUCGAGGGAGAGUUUCGUCAGCACGACGGUGUGGUCACGAUGAUGAUGUUCUACCGACGCAGGGCUUUGCCUAAGCACCGCUACGAUAUUAUCGAGGAGGACUAUGGUGGAGGGGGGCACCGCACACGGCUAAGAGAUCAAUGAUCAAUUGUUGUGUCUAUGGGGUGCCCCCUGCCCCCGUAUAUAAAGGAGCAAGGGGGGAGGCGGCCGACCAAGGAGGAGAGCGCGCCAAGGAGGGAGUCCUACUCCCACUGGGAGUAGGACUCCUCCUUUCCUUGUUAGAGUAGGAGAGAAGGAAAGAGGAGGAGAGGGAAAAGAAAAGGGGGGCUGCACCCCUUGUCCAAUUCGGACCAGAGGGGGGGCCUCCUUCCUUUUGGCCUCUCUCCUCUAUUUUCGUAUGGCUCAAUAAGGCCCAUAUACUCGCGAAUUCCCGUAACUCUCCGGUACUCCGAAAAAUACCCGAAUCACUCGCAACCUUUCCGAAGUCUGAAUAUAGUCGUCCAAUAUAUCGAUCUUUACGUCUCGACCAUUUCGAGACUCCUCAUCAUGUCCCCAAUCUCAUCCGGGACUCCGAACUACCUUCGAUACAUCAAAACACAUAAACUCAUAAUAUAACCGUCAUCUAACUUUAAGCGUGCGGACCCUACGGGUUCAAGAACUACGUAGACAUGGCCGAGACUCAUCUCCGAUCAAUAACCAAUAGCGGAACCUGGAUGCUCAUAUUGGCUCCUACAUAUUCUACGAAGAUCUUUAUCGGUCAAACCGCAUAACAACAUACGUUGUUCCCUUUGUCAUCGGUAUGUUACUUGCCUGAGAUUCGAUCGUCGGUAUCUCAAUAACUAGUUCAAUCUCGUUACCGGCAAGUCUCUUUACUCAUUCCGUAAUACAUUAUCCUGUAACUAACUCAUUAGUUACAAUGCUUGCAAGGCUUUAGUGAUGUGCAUUACCGAGUGGGCCCAGAGAUACCUCUCCGACAAUCGGAGUGACAAAUCAUAAUCUCGAAAUACGCCAACCCAACAAGUACCUUCGGAGACACCUGUAGAACACCUUUAUAAUCACCCAGUUACGUUGUGACGUUUGGUAGCACACAAAGUGUUCCUCCGGUAAAAGGGAGUUGCAUAAUCUCAUAGUUAUAGGAACAUGUAUAAGUCAUGAAGAAAACAAUAGCAACAUACUAAACAAUCAAGUGCUAAGCUAAUGGAAUGGGUCAAGUCAAUCACAUCAUUCUCCUAAUGAUGUGAUCCCGUUAAUCAAAUGACAACUCAUGUUUAUGGUUAGGAAACUUAACCAUCUUUGAUUAAUGAGCUAGUCAAGUAGAGGCAUACUAGUGACACUAUGUUUGUCUAUGUAUUCACACAUGUAUUAUGUUUCCGGUUAAUACAAUUCUAGCACGAAUAAUAAACAUUUAUCAUGAAAUAAGGAAAUAAAUAAUAACUUUAUUAUUGCCUCUAGGGCAUAUUUCCUUCACCAAGAAAUUAUCAUCUUUUGAUGGUGAACUUUUGGGAAAGCGAGACAUUACGAAAUAUAAAAGCAUAGUUGGUGCACUUCAAUAGUUGACACUUAUGGGAACUGGAAUUUCUUUUCCACUAAGAGAGUGUGUCAGUAUUUAUAUGCACCAACCAUAGUACAUUGGCCAACCCAUCUUAAGGAAAAUCUAGAAACUUUGAUUCUUUGACUUACAUUUAGUAAAUCACCAUCCACCUUGGUGAGCGCUUUUUCAUAUGCAGAUUGGGCCGGAUGCUGAUGAUAGAAGGUCAAUUGGUGGUUUUGCUAUUUUAUUUGGACUAAACUUGAUGUCCAGGCGUGCUAAGAAACAAGCAACCAUAUCAAGGUCAAGUACUAAAGCAGGAUAUAAAGCUAUUGCAAAUGCAAAUGCAAAAUUUAUUUGGGUGUAGUCUAUGCUCAAGGGACUUGUAAUAACACAAGAUCAAACUCCAUGUCUUUGGCAUGGCAAUUCGGGUGCCACAUAUUUGUAAGCAAAUCAUGUCUUCCAUGCCAGUACAAAACACAUAGAGAUAGAUAUCAUUUUGUGAGGGAAUAGAAGCACAAAAAAUAUUAGAGAUUUAGUUUGUCCACUCCGGGUAUGAAGUUGCAUAUGGUUUCACAAAGGCUUUAAGGGACAUAAAAUCCUUCACACGUAAUCUCAACUUAAUAAAGUGAUUAAGGGGGUUGUUUGAAUAUGUAUAGAAUCUCUUGUAGACUCUAGAAGUCUCCUAUAAUGUUCAACACAUGCAUGCAAACUAGCACAAUUAUAGUUGUAACUGGUCCUUCCUUGAUUAAUGCAUUGUGCUUCUCCUUCCAUGUAAUGUCCGGAUGGUGGAUUUUGCCAUCAAUAUCAAUAGACUCAUGCGGCCACCCUCGGGAGGUGGAAUACUUCUCCAUCUUUGCGUGAAUUUUGAUAAAGCACUUGACAUUGUGAUGGCCAUAAGACGAGGCAUAUCACUAGUCGCUUGGGUGUAGGUGCAUUUCAACAGUGGCAGCUCAGGACCUAAUGAAGGCAAUGACUAGGGGAGAAUGACCAAGAGGUUAGGUUUAGGUGUGUAAACAAUUGGAUUGGGCUUGGGCCAAGAUAAAGGUAUACGGGCUUUAGCUUUUCAAAAUUGGCUGCAUAUAGGUAGAAUGUACACAGAAAUUUCCAUCUCCCUACACGUUCCACGCCGGAAGGAGACCAUAUGUUUUACUUCCGUUUCCGUUCCGCAAAACCCUUUUUCAGUUUCUAUAAUUUUCUCCGUUUCCACUUUUUGCUGAACUACCGAGUAAAUUCCGCACCGCGCUCAUCUCUUUUUUAAUGAUACCUAUAUUUUUAGAGCUUGCUCAUCAAUAUCCUUUUCCUUUUGAAGAACAUCCUUCAUUUUUAUUUUUAUUUUGUGUUGAGAAACGCUCAUCCCUCUAUCCGCGGCACGGUCGUAAUGCGGGUCAUUAAUGCGGAUCGUUUGACUGGGCCUAGAGAUCUUGCUAGGCCCAGCCCAUCAGAGUGAAGGAAACCGACUCCGGGUCGAAUUCCAAUCCACCAACCCUGCGGUUGCCAAACUCGUACGGCUCCAGGUGGAACUCGGAUUUGAGGAGAUCAACAGUAGUAAUCCAGGCGUUGUUGGCGUAGUUCGUACGCCUGGAUGCCGAUGGGAACUCGGACUGUCAGGCUUAAACGCGUCCUCGCCGGUGCUAAUAUAUAGGCUUGACUUCCCUCCGAAAUCCCCAGCUAUUCUUUCCUUCCUCCCUCCCUUCAUAAUUCUGCCCCCGCCCAACAAAUCGCCAUGGCUCCAAUCCGACGCGCCGCGCAGCGGCCGGACUUCGCCUCCCACCCUUCUGACCUCGAGCUCAUCAGCACGUACCUCAUCCCCUGGGUCAGCACCGGCGAGCGCCCCUGGAAGUUCAUCCACGAGGCCGACGUCUACGCCGCCACGCCGCAGGACCUCACCCGCGCCUACGCCCCGGCCACGGCCAGCGACGGCCAGGAGAGCUGGUACUUCUUCACGACGCUGCGGGCCAAGAGCCGCCGCGGCCAGCGCAAGUCGCGCACCGUCGGAUCCGGGGACCACGGCUGCUGGCACUCGGAGCGCGCCGCCAAGCCCCUCUUCGCCGGCAUCGGCCACAGCCGCCAGAUCGGGUACCGCCAGGCCUUCUCCUUCGCGACCAAGGAGGACGGCCGCCUUGUGCGCUCGGGGUGGCUCAUGGCCGAGAUCGGCCUCAACCCCGACGCCUCCGCGGAGGAGGAGCUCGUCCUCUGCAAGGUGUAUCGGAGCCCGCGCGUCGGGACAGGCCAGAGAUCUACGGCGCCGGCCGCUACCGGAGUUGGACCCGUCAGGAUUGGAAGGGGAAAGGCGAGCGAGGAGGACUCUUCCUCGUCUGAAGAGGGGACGCCAAGGGCUGCUGGGCCCGGCUGCUAUUCGGCCCAGCAGCCCGCUCGAGUCUCCGCGUCCACUUCAGGUACCCUGUCCAUGGAGGAGUCCGACUCCGAGCAGGGUUCCACCAGCCAAGGAGGCGACGGCGGAGUGAUUGGCACGUCGCCGUCCGCCACUCCGCCUCGGGUUCCCCGUUCCGAGGCCCUUCGAGCUGCUCAUCUUCCCCGAAUCCCGACGGUUCCCGCGGCGCAGCGCCCGGACUUCGCUUCUCACCCUUCGGACCAAGUGCUGAUCAAGUCCUACCUCACCCCGCGUGUCGCCUCCGGCCAACACCCGUGCCAGUUCACGCACGACGCCGACGUCUACACCGCCAGCCCCGGCGCCCUCACCAGGAAGUACCCCCCGGCGAUGGCAAGCGACGGUGAGAAGGCCUGGUACUUCUUCACCCUCCUGCCGGCCAAGAGCGCCCACGGCCAGCGGCGGCCGCGCACGGUGGGCACCGGGGAGGGGUGCUGGCACUCGGAGGCCGGCGUGAAGCCUGUUCUCGACGGCGGCCACCCGAUAGGAUGGCGACAGUUCUUCUCCUUCAUGACCAAGGAGGAAGGCCAGCGUGUCCGGAGCAUCCGGUCGGGAUGGAUCAUGGUUGAGAUCGGCCUCGACCAUGGCCAACAGGAGGGCCCCUCGGACGAGCUCGUCCUGUGCAAGGUGUACCGCAGCCCGCGCGCCGGCCCGGUGGAACCCCCGGCGGCGGCUGGACGAAAGAGGAAAUCCGGCGACAACUACUCUGCCUCAGCGGCGCCCGUGCUGACGCUGGGGCCCGCGCCCGGUGCCAGGAAUUCUACGGCGGCGUCGACAUCUUCCUCUGGGCACAAGAAGAGGAAGACCCACAGCAGGAACUCCGGUCACGUGAUGAGGCCCGCGCGCGGCGUCCUGAAGCUGACGCGGCCGGCGACGUCUGGGCGCAAGAAGAGCACCAGCGCGGCAUGCACUCGCUGUGGGAUGGAGCCAGCGGAGUCGCACCGCGGAACGCCCGAUGCUCCUGCCGAGGAGGAAGACGGAUCGGAGACGGAUCUUGAUGAGGACGACCCUAUGACCGGCGACUCCGGCGCACCCCAUUGCCUCAAACCAGGUGAAUCUUCAGGAUGCACCAGACCGUUCUACCAGUUCAAGAUCUGACAACUAGAUAGACGAUCCCCAGUUUUCUCCUGAAACAUGCUUUCCCAGCGAAUUUUGUAUCCACCACCAGGGGAGGGGAUAGGUUUAAGUAGGGGGGAAAUCCCAUGGUUCUGCCUGCAAUUUACUCUUCGUUCUUGGUAUGCACAUCGGAUUAGGUAGAUAUAGGCAUUCUGGUUUGUCAAAUUGUUGUACUUCUUGGCGUACAAAGAAAUCGUUCGGCAACUUGAUCAAAUUGUACAUUAGCAGCUUCCUCAAUCGCAAAUAAAUUGUACAACAAUGUAGCAGUUUUCUUCGAUCAGAACAGAGCAUUGCAUUGACAGUAGCCAAUAUAAAGUUUUUGGCAAUUGGAUAAUUGCAAGAGAGCAUAAUACGUAGUGCAACACUUGAAUAUACAUAUGAAAUAAUACUGGUGGAAAGCUUGCAUUCAGGAAGUGCAGAGCUUCCUCACAUAAGCUUCCAAGUGAAAAUACGGCAACCAUAAUUGCAAUACCUCAGCAGAUCACAUUACAGACAUUUGACACUAAGAAGCACGUGUAACUACACUAACAUUUGGGAUAUUUGAGGUACUUGACAUGAAUAAUUUAGACCAUCGACAUCAUCGCAACUUAGCUCGGUUCAUUUUCUUUACUCCGGAAGAAGGUCAAUCUUAUUUGUUCUGACCUGUCUGCUCUAGGGAUCUUGGAGCUGCAGGCAGAUGGACACAUCUCAGUUCAGAGCAUGUUUGUAAUCCAAAGUUUUACCUAAUAAUGAUAUAUUCUACAGAGACCUAAUGUUCAGGUAUAAAGGUUAAACAGUCAAUGUGUUGGUAGCAGAUGGUGAAAGUACAUUAUAAGUUGAACUUUCAGGUUCCAACAUAUCCCAGCUAUUGGUUUCUGUCAGCCAACAGUUCAUUAUCAUAUCAGCCAAGGUUUCUGUCACUUAUGGAGUUAUGGUAGCCAAGAGAAACUAUUUUCUGCAUACAAGUGUUUCACCAGCUAUAAUAUUUUAAUUUAGGUUCCACUAUCAUCAAUCACUAUACAUUUUUAUUUUUAUGUGCGCAGGGUUGACACUAGUGGAAAUAAAUCAUAUGCAACACAAUGGGAAACAUAAAUACAAGUACUGUUCCAUAUGGUAAAAACUAUGCAAC
Molecule: long non-coding RNA, 30642 nt
Filed under: Triticum aestivum (bread wheat)
Lineage: Eukaryota; Viridiplantae; Streptophyta; Magnoliopsida; Poales; Poaceae
Description: long non-coding RNA (TAES_LNC027512)
Source: RNAcentral